This 1225-nucleotide ribosomal RNA is filed under the name Citrobacter freundii. RNAcentral's name for it is "partial 23S ribosomal RNA". It matches the Rfam family "Bacterial large subunit ribosomal RNA", at positions 1673 to 2873 of the family's 2925-position model. Lineage: Bacteria; Pseudomonadati; Pseudomonadota; Gammaproteobacteria; Enterobacterales; Enterobacteriaceae. The record is from RNAcentral.
AGAGAAUACCAAGGCGCUUGAGAGAACUCGGGUGAAGGAACUAGGCAAAAUGGUGCCGUAACUUCGGGAGAAGGCACGCUGAUAUGUAGGUGAAGCGGUUUACCCGUGGAGCUGAAAUCAGUCGAAGAUACCAGCUGGCUGCAACUGUUUAUUAAAAACACAGCACUGUGCAAACACGAAAGUGGACGUAUACGGUGUGACGCCUGCCCGGUGCCGGAAGGUUAAUUGAUGGGGUUAUCCGUAAGGAGAAGCUCUUGAUCGAAGCCCCGGUAAACGGCGGCCGUAACUAUAACGGUCCUAAGGUAGCGAAAUUCCUUGUCGGGUAAGUUCCGACCUGCACGAAUGGCGUAAUGAUGGCCAGGCUGUCUCCACCCGAGACUCAGUGAAAUUGAACUCGCUGUGAAGAUGCAGUGUACCCGCGGCAAGACGGAAAGACCCCGUGAACCUUUACUAUAGCUUGACACUGAACACUGGUCCUUGAUGUGUAGGAUAGGUGGGAGGCUUUGAAGUGUGGACGCCAGUCUGCAUGGAGCCAUCCUUGAAAUACCACCCUUUAAUGGCUGGUGUUCUAACGUGGACCCGUAAUCCGGGUUGCGGACAGUGUCUGGUGGGUAGUUUGACUGGGGCGGUCUCCUCCUAAAGAGUAACGGAGGAGCACGAAGGUUAGCUAAUCCUGGUCGGACAUCAGGAGGUUAGUGCAAAGGCAUAAGCUAGCUUGACUGCGAGAGUGACGGCUCGAGCAGGUGCGAAAGCAGGUCUUAGUGAUCCGGUGGUUCUGAAUGGAAGGGCCAUCGCUCAACGGAUAAAAGGUACUCCGGGGAUAACAGGCUGAUACCGCCCAAGAGUUCAUAUCGACGGCGGUGUUUGGCACCUCGAUGUCGGCUCAUCACAUCCUGGGGCUGAAGUAGGUCCCAAGGGUAUGGCUGUUCGCCAUUUAAAGUGGUACGCGAGCUGGGUUUAGAACGUCGUGAGACAGUUCGGUCCCUAUCUGCCGUGGGCGCUGGAGAAUUGAGGGGGGCUGCUCCUAGUACGAGAGGACCGGAGUGGACGCAUCACUGGUGUUCGGGUUGUCAUGCCAAUGGCAUUGCCCGGUAGCUAAAUGCGGAAGAGAUAAGUGCUGAAAGCAUCUAAGCACGAAACUUGCCCCGAGAUGAGUUCUCCCUGAGACUAUAAGUCUCCUGAAGGAACGUUAAAGACGAUGACGUUGAUAGGUCGGGUGUGUAAG